RNAcentral lists this unclassified non-coding RNA (230 nucleotides) under plant metagenome. RNAcentral describes it as "partial contains 5.8S ribosomal RNA, internal transcribed spacer 2, and large subunit ribosomal RNA". The record is from RNAcentral.
GAUAUUCAGCGGGCGGAACUCGGGAUCGUCUUUUUGCCUUGUCUCCUGAGCGACCUGAAAGAGCCCAAAAUAUUCGAUCGCGUCGUUGAUCGAUCCCGUGGCGAGGACAGCGUUAAAGCGGCGACCGCCGGUGGCGGCGUCGUGUUUACGGAGAAUGGCCUCGACUACGGCUUGCUUAACCGCAGGCUCGCCGGGCUUGGGCACAUUUGUCCCCUCCGGAUUGUAAUAGU